GCACAAGCGGUGGAGCAUGUGGUUCAAUUCGACGCAACGCGAAGAACCUUACCGGGGUUUGAACUGCACAGGACAGCUCUAGAGAUAGAGUCUUCCUUCGGGACCUGUGUAGAGGUGCUGCAUGGCUGUCGUCAGCUCGUGUCGUGAGAUGUUGGGUUAAGUCCCGCAACGAGCGCAACCCUUGCCUCCUGUUGCUAACGAGUAAUGUCGAGCACUCUGGAGAGACUGCCGGUGAUAAGCCGGAGGAAGGUGGGGAUGACGUCAAGUCCUCAUGGCCUUUAUGCCCCGGGCUACACACGUGCUACAAUGGCUGGUACAAAGGGUCGCAAAACCGCGAGGUGGAGCUAAUCCCAAAAAGCCAGUCCCAGUUCGGAUUGCAGUCUGCAGCUCGACUGCAUGAAGUUGGAAUCGCUAGUAAUCGCGGAUCAGCACGCCGCGGUGAAUACGUUCCCGGGC
This 456-nucleotide ribosomal RNA is filed under the name uncultured bacterium. Its description in RNAcentral is "bacterial SSU rRNA". It matches the Rfam family "Bacterial small subunit ribosomal RNA", at positions 923 to 1379 of the family's 1533-position model. The record is from RNAcentral.